GAUGAACGCUAGCGGCAGGCCUAAUACAUGCAAGUCGAACGAUACUUUCCAGCUUGCUGGAGAGGAAAGUGGCGCACGGGUGCGUAACGCGUAUGCAACCUACCUUAAUCAGGGGGAUAGCCCGAAGAAAUUCGGAUUAACACCACAUAAAAUCACAGUAUAGCAUUAUACAAUGAUCAAAUAUUUAUAGGAUUAAGAUGGGCAUGCGUGACAUUAGUUAGUUGGCGGGGUAACGGCCCACCAAGACCACGAUGUCUAGGGGAUCUGAGAGGAUGACCACCCACACUGGUACUGAGACACGGACCAGACUCCGACGAGAGGCAGCGGUAAGGAAUAUUGGUCAAUGGAGGCAACUCUGAACCAGCCAUGCCGCGUGCAGGAAGACAGCCCUCUGGGUCGUAAACUGCUUUUAUUCGGGAAUAAACCUAUCUACGUGUAGAUAGCUGAAUGUACCGAAGGAAUAAGGAUCGGCUAACUCCGUGCCAGCAGCCGCGGUAA
RNAcentral lists this ribosomal RNA (498 nucleotides) under uncultured bacterium. Its description in RNAcentral is "partial 16S ribosomal RNA". It matches the Rfam family "Bacterial small subunit ribosomal RNA", at positions 28 to 523 of the family's 1533-position model. The record is from RNAcentral.